AUCGGUCUAAUUAUCUCAUUAAAACAUUUUUUUCGAAUUUUUACCCUUUUUUGGUCUGAGGUAUAUCGGAUGUAAAGCAAGGAAAAAUUGAGGACGGUUUUCUGAAAGAGCGACCC
This is a non-coding RNA of Bombyx mori (domestic silkworm), 116 nucleotides long. Lineage: Eukaryota; Metazoa; Arthropoda; Insecta; Lepidoptera; Bombycidae. The record is from RefSeq and is marked provisional.